This is a non-coding RNA of Balneola sp. EhC07, 109 nucleotides long. It matches the Rfam family "Bacteroidales small SRP". Rfam says of the family: The non-coding component of the signal recognition particle in Bacteroides NCBI's taxonomy places the organism in Bacteria, Pseudomonadati, Balneolota, Balneolia, Balneolales, Balneolaceae. The record is from Rfam.
CCUUUUAGGGCAAGUCCUAUACAGCCAGCUCCCUUUGAACUCCGUCAGGGCAGGAAUGCAGCAGCGGUAAUCUGGUCGUAGCGGCGUGAUAUAGAUCGCUUGCCCUUUU